Long non-coding RNA from Oncorhynchus tshawytscha (Chinook salmon), 815 nucleotides. The record is from Ensembl. Lineage: Eukaryota; Metazoa; Chordata; Actinopteri; Salmoniformes; Salmonidae.
AAGGAGACAGGGGAGAGAUGGUAGGGAGACAGGGUAGAGAUGGAAGGGAGACAGGGGAGAGAUGGAAGGGAGACAGGGUAGAGAUGGAAGGGAGACAGGGGAGAGAUGGUAAUGAGACAGGGUAGAGAUGGAAGGGGGACAGGGAGAGAUGGAAGGGAGACAGGGGAGAGAUGGUAAUGAGACAGGGUAGAGAUGGAAGGGGGACAGAGGAGAGAUGGAAGGGAGACAGGGUAGAGAUGGUAAUGAGACAGAGUAGAGAUGGAAGGGAGACAGGGGAGAGAUGGAAGGGAGACAGGGUAGAGAUGGUAGGGAGACAGGGGAGAGAUGGAAGGGAGACAGGGGAGAGAUGGAAGGAGACAUGGGAGAUAUGGAAGGGAGACAGGGUAGAGAUGGAAGGGAGACAGGGGAGAGAUGGAAGGGAGACAGGGGAGAGAUGGUAAUGAGACAGGGGAGAGAUGGAAGGGAGACAGGGGAGAUAUGGAAGGGAGACAGGGAGAGAUGGAAGGGGAGAGAUGGAAGGGGAGAGAUGGUAGGGAUACAGGGGAGAGAUGGUAGGGAUACAGGGAGAGAUGGAAGGGGAGAGACGGAAGGGGAGAGAUGGUAGGGAUACAGGGGAGAGAUGGAAGGGUAGAGAUGGAAGGGGAGAGAUGGUAGGGAGACAGGGGAGAGAUGGAAGUGGAGAGAUGGUAGGGAGACAGGGGAGAUAUGGAAGGGAGACAGGGGAGAGAUGGAAGGGUAGAGAUGGAAGGGAGUCAGGGUAGAGAUGGUAGGGAGACAGGGGAGAGAUGCUAGGGAGACAGGGUAGAGAUGGAAGG